Molecule: small nuclear RNA, 163 nt
Filed under: Dasypus novemcinctus (nine-banded armadillo)
Lineage: Eukaryota; Metazoa; Chordata; Mammalia; Cingulata; Dasypodidae
Description: U4 spliceosomal RNA (ENSDNOG00000043077.1)
Rfam family: U4 spliceosomal RNA (bases 1-70)
Source: RNAcentral
AGCUUUGUGCAGUGGCAGUAUUGAAGCCAAUGAGGUUUAUCUGAGGCGCAAUUAUUGCUAAUUGAAAAAAGAGAAUGAGGGAAGCAGACGUGGCUCAAGCAGUUGGGCACCUGCCUACCACACAGGAGGUCCUGGAUUCGGUUCUCAGUGCCUCCUAAAGAAG